Molecule: long non-coding RNA, 1942 nt
Filed under: Homo sapiens (human)
Lineage: Eukaryota; Metazoa; Chordata; Mammalia; Primates; Hominidae
Description: HSALNT0054364
Source: RNAcentral
GUGGGGAGGCCUGGCCAGCCAGGGGAAGAGCUUUGGGAAGCAGGAGGGUACGGGCAGAUUCCCUUCAUGCCAAUGUCCUGUACUGGCCCAGCACAUGGCUUUGAGAACCCCUGCACAUCUCCAAUGGGCCUGCCACCCUCUGCCUCACAUUGAGGUAAGAAGAGUACAGCUGUGGCUCUGGGUUUGGGGCCUAGCAGCUGACAGGGGUUGAGAUCAGUGGAGUAUGAACAGGAGGCAUGGAGUGGAGAGGGUCCUGGGCCCGCCAGGCUCCCUAGAGGAUCAUGGGAAGGGACACAUGUAGAUUGUAUGCCAAUCGUGGCAGGCUCUGAGUCAUUCUGCAUCCUGCCCUAGUCCUCUCUAAAGUGGAAGGCUCCUCAGCUGCCUGCCCACCCUCUUCCUCUAGUGCCCUGCACUGCCCUCUGCCAAACCCUCUGGGCUGUGCUCUUGGCCUGGUCCCCAGCUCCCUCCAUGUCCCUCGGUCAACCUGCUGUUCUCUGGAGCCACCAGUGCACCCGUAAGUCCUAUCCAGCCCUACCUCCAGCAGCAUGGCUUCCUGGUCAAGGUUCCCUAACAGUGCCUACCAUGGGGUCCUCCUUGCCUACCCUAGACACUCUGCAUUGCCUGAAGGUCCACAUUGCCUGGUAGUUCACUCUGUCUUCUCCCUUUUUCUCUCGCUCCUAGCCUUCCCAGAAUGCCCCAUGCCCUUGGGUUUCAUGGACCACCCAAAUUCCAAUAUAUACUGGGAAGUGACUCCUAUAGGAUUCUUACUUUUUACCUUGCCAAGUAACUACCUAAAAACCUCCCACCUACAUCCACCAUAUGUCAUAAUAAAAAUUAUAGUGUGCCCUCAAAAUUUCAGGGUGGGCCUUUUAUGGAAUAAAUUUAGCCUUUUGAACCCCUCACUCUGUUGUCUCUUUUCUUAUUUUGGCCACGCAUCAUGAGUGCCUAUCAUGGCCUGGUCUCACAUGGCCAGCCCAUGGGACCUCUGUGCCUGCAGCCAGGACCACCCUGCCUCUCUGACCUGCCCUCCCUGCCAGCCUAGAGUCCUGAUCCCACCCACACCCCUAUAUGGCCUGCAUACACCAAGACUUCACUACCCAAGAUUAUCACCUCCACAAACCCCAUUCUAAGGCUCCACUUUUCUCGUCUCUGUGUCACACCCUGAAAAUGGGCAAAUCUACCUUACGAUGCCUCUGGCUCCUGCCUCCUCUGCCAGGUCUCUUCCUUCAGCCCACCCUCCCACAUUCUGCCCAGGAAACUUUCCAAAACAUCUGCUUUGUCCCAUCUCACAUGCCUAAAACCUCCAGAGGCUUCCAGGGUCUUUAGGAAAAGCCCAUCCUCCUCAGCCUGGCACUCAGUUGUUGGCAUUAGGCCCUCACAACCCUCUAUUCUCACUUUGGCUGCAGCCCACAGCCAAGCCACUUCUCACAGUCCCCAUCCAUCACUGGCAAAUAAAGCCACAACCAAGGGUAAGCUUAUGCUUCUGAAUCCCCUAUCUAGGGGAGCAGACAGAUGUGUAAACAGAUUUACCGAGGGCCAGGUAGGGGCAGAGAACACCCUGGGGCAGAGAGCACACUGCAGCCCGCUGGGAUGGGCCUCUAGUGCUAGGCCAUAGGGGUGUGGGCUUCCUGUGUGGCAAUGGAAACCAGGCCAGGACUGAGAGGACGAGAGCAGCCGCGCCAGGUUCAUAUGACUGAUUUUCUUAGGAAACACCCAUAGAUUAAGUUUGGAGUGGAAGGGGUCCAGACUAGAAGUGAGAGCUGAAGAGGCCUAAAGGGGGAGGUAGCAGGGGCUGGACCAGGUGUGGGUGGUGAAGGGACAGUGCUGGGAGGAGGCUGAAGCUUCUAGUAGGGUAUGUGGCUGGAAGGCUGUGGGGGCCCAUGUGUGUGUCUGUAUCUGCCAGGCUGUCUGCCGGGCUGCAGCCCCUCCCUGUGGGGGCCCC